This 620-nucleotide ribosomal RNA is filed under the name uncultured bacterium. RNAcentral's name for it is "bacterial SSU rRNA". It matches the Rfam family "Bacterial small subunit ribosomal RNA", at positions 427 to 1035 of the family's 1533-position model. The record is from RNAcentral.
AAAACUCUGUUAUCAGGGAAGAACAAGUAUCGGAAUAACUACCGGUACCUUGACGGUACCUGACCAGAAAGCCACGGCUAACUACGGUGCCAGCAGCCGCGGUAAUACGUAGGUGGCAAGCGUUGUCCGGAAUUAUUGGGCGUAAAGGGCGCGCAGGCGGUUUCUUAAGUCUGAUGUGAAAUCUUGUGGCUCAACCACAAGCUGUCAUUGGAAACUGGGAGACUUGAGUGCAGAAGAGAAGAGUGGAAUUCCGCGUGUAGCGGUGAAAUGCGUAGAGAUGUGGAGGAACACCAGUGGCGAAGGCGGCUCUUUGGUCUGCAACUGACGCUGAGGCGCGAAAGCGUGGGGAGCGAACAGGAUUAGAUACCCUGGUAGUCCACGCCGUAAACGAUGAGUGCUAAGUGUUAGAGGGUUUCCGCCCUUUAGUGCUGCAGUAAACGCAUUAAGCACUCCGCCUGGGGAGUACGGCCGCAAGGCUGAAACUCAAAGGAAUUGACGGGGGCCCGCACAAGCGGUGGGGCAUGUGGUUUAAUUCGAAGCAACGCGAACAACCUUACCAGGUCUUGACAUCCUCUGCCAACCCUAGAGAUAGGGCGUUCCCCUUCGGGGGACAGAGUGAC